AUGGCCUUCACUUUCCUCUCAAUCCCCAACUUUCUCUCUCCUCAACCUCACUUUCUCUCUCUAAGAUCCAAUUUCACUUCCCUCAAACCCUCAAUUCCCUCUCUUUCCACCCGGUUCAUUAAGCCCACCCACGCAAUCGGGCCGGACGGCAAGUACUACCCGGACCCGGCCGACGACGACCCGCCUGAAGCCCCGGAAGACUCGGGCCACGGAGUGUCCAAGUUCCAGCAAAUCCAGCGGCAGGCCUCGCGCCACCGCAAGCUCCAAGAGGAAGACUACUUAAAGCACCAGGACACCUUCCUCAACGCCAUUGCUGACGUGGAGGACGCGCCGGAGAAUCCCAAUUCCGUAAUCAACGACAACUCCGGGGACGAUUUGUUCGGCGACAUCGACCAGGCGAUUGCCUUGAAACGCAAGGAGUUUGUGAAGCAGGGGCUUCUGAAGCCAAACCCUAAGAAAGAGAUUGUGGCGGUUGACGAAUUGGACCCUGAGGAGGUAGUGGAUUUGGAGGAGAUUGAGGAGCUUCAGGGGAUUAGGGUUGUUGGCGAGGACGAAGAGGAAGACGGGCCGGAGAAAUUCGAUCCCAAGGUCAGUGAUUUGGAUGGUAAAGAUGGGAUUUUGCGUUUGAAUUCGGAGUUUGAUUUGGAUUUUGAUAAUUAUGGUAAAACUAGGGCUAGGAUUGUGGAACCGAAGUUUAAAAUGGGCUUGGCUGAGCUUUUGGAUGAGAGUAAAGUGGUGCCCGUGUCGGUUUAUGGUGACUUAGAAGUUGAGAUUACAGGAAUUCAACACGAUUCGAGGGUGGUUAAUGCCGGUGAUUUGUUUGUGUGCUGUGUUGGGAGCAAGACCGACGGGCAUUUGUAUUUGAGUGAGGCUAUUAAGAGAGGUGCGGUGGCUGUUGUAGCUAGUAAAGAGAUAUACAUGGAGGAAAGUCUGGGGUGUAAGGCAUUGGUCAUUGUGGAAGAUACAAAUGCGGAUUUACCUGCAUUGGCUGCGUCGUUUUAUCGGUACCCGUCGAAGAAUAUGGCAGUGAUUGGGAUAACGGGAACAAAUGGGAAGACCACAACUGCAUAUUUGAUAAAAGGGAUGUAUGAAGCGAUGGGAUUGAGGACCGGUAUGUUGAGUACGGUUGCAUAUUAUGUGCAUGGGGAUAAUAAGUUGGAGUCACCUAACACGACCCCGGAUGCUGUUUUGGUUCAAAAUUUGAUGGCUAAGAUGCUCCAUAAUGGGGCUGAAGCCGUUGUCAUGGAGGCUUCUUCUCAUGGUCUUGCUCUAUCCAGGUGCGAUGAAGUUGACUUUGACAUAGCAGUUUUCACAAAUUUAACGAGAGACCAUUUAGAUUUUCACAAGACUGAGGAGGAGUAUAGGGAUGCAAAGGCUAAGUUGUUUUCAAGGAUGGUGGAUCCGGAACGGCACAGGAAAGUUGUGAACAUUGAUGAUCCGAAUUCAACCUUCUUUAUUGCACAAGGCAACCCAGAUGUUCCAGUUGUGACCUUUGCCAUGGAGAAUAAGAAUGCAGACGUUCACCCCUUGAAGUUUGAACUUUCCUUGUUUGAGACGCAGGUUUUAGUCAAUACUCCAAAUGGUAUAUUGGAGAUAUCAUCAGGCUUACUUGGAAGACAUAAUAUAUACAAUAUACUGGCUUCUGUGGCUGUUGGGAUUGCAGUCGGAUCACCAUUGGAGGAUAUCGUUAGAGGAAUUGAAGAGGUUGAUGCAGUUCCAGGGAGGUGUGAAUUAAUAGAUGAGGAACAGGCCUUUGGAGUAAUUGUGGACUAUGCUCAUACUCCUGAUGCCUUGUCUAGGCUAUUGGAUUCUGUAAGGGAGCUUGGUUCAAGGAGGAUUAUUACUGUAAUUGGUUGUCCUGGAGAGAGUGACAGAGGGAAAAGACCCAUGAUGACGAAGAUUGCAACAGAUAAAAGUGACGUGACCAUACUGACGUCUGACAAUCCAAAGAAUGAAGAUCCAUUGGACAUUUUGGAUGAUAUGUUGGCUGGUGUAGGAUGGACAAUGCAAGAUUACUUAAAACACGGGGAGAACGAUUACUACCCACCUCUUGCAAAUGGUCAUAGGCUUUUCCUUCAUGAUAUUAGACGAGUAGCCGUACGUUGUGCUGUUGCCAUGGGCGAGGAAGGUGAUAUGGUUGUGGUUGCUGGCAAAGGGCAUGAAGCAUAUCAGAUCGAAGGUGGCAAAAAAGAGUUCUUUGAUGACCGGGAAGAGUGCCGAGAGGCGUUACAGUACGUUGAUGAGCUUCACCAAGCUGGAAUAGACACAAGUGAAUUUCCAUGGAGGUUACCUGAAAGUCAUUGAUCUCUUAUAAAAGGAGGAGGAAAUGGGAGGAAUGGUCCCUGAACUAUGCUCGAAUUGUAGAUUUAGUCCCUAAACUAAAAAAUCAUUAGAUUUGGUCCCUAAACUUAACAAAAUGUAUAGCAUUGGUCCCUCUAUACUAACACCGUGAGAUUUUCCGUUAGUUUGAUGACGUGGUCUUUGUGGGCUCCAUAUUUUUGUUCAUUAAAUGCCAUGUGGCUUAAAAAUUCAAAAUAAAAAUAAAUACAAACAUAGAAAAAGAAAAAAAAAUAAAAAAGUAAAAGUUAUCUCUCUCUCUCUCCCGUCUUCCCUUCUGCCUCGCCUCCUCCAAACCCCAGCUGAGUUCGUGAUCGUAGAACCCCAUCAGAGACAACUCCAGCAAAUUACCAAUGAUCAGAUACAAGCACAGCGGAAAAAAAAACCCCGAAGAUCGAAACAAUUAUUGAAACCCAGAAAAGAUUAUCAAAAGUGAGAAGAUUUCGUUUGUAUUUAUUUUUUUAGUUUAGGGAAGACGGGAGAGAGAGAAGGGAAGGGAAGAAGGGAAAUUGCGUUUGAAUUGUUCGGCUGCACUUCUUCUUCUCCUUCAUCAGCUCGCCAACAACCAGUACCCACCUCCAACCUCCAUAGAAGAAAGAGAAGAAGGGAAAUUGCGUUUGAAUUGUUCGGCCCGAUCGGGUGCUGCGCAAGGGGACACGUGGAAGCAAUCGGUCGAUGCAUAGGUGUGAGAAGUCAAAAGUCAAAGGCUUGACUGAGAGAGAUGCCGGAGGAGGAUUUGGUGGACAUAAAGUUCCGGCUGUACGACGGCACCGAUAUCGGGCCGUUCAGCUACUCAUCAGCCUCCACCGUCGAUAUGCUCAAGCAGAGGGUCGUCUCCGAUUGGCCCAAAGUGAACGGAGGUAUACUUCCACGUUGUUUUGAUGUACAAUAGGAGAUACUUUGUCCAGAAUGCAUGUGACCGUGUAUCAACCUUUGUCUGGUCAAGUCAACGAUGUACAUUAUAUGCGAAGGCAGUCGAUAACGGCUUCUUGGUUACUAAGACUGGUUGGUGAGGAGUUGGUCUUUUGAGGCAUUGUUGUAAUUUUAACCCUAGAAAGGUUAUUAGGUGACACAAUUUUUGUAAGGUUAUGCGUGUGUAGAAUGUAGAAUGUACUCGUAUGUAAUCUAAGAUCCUGUAUUUGCCAAUGUCACAAUUUAAAUUAUAACCCAAUUGAUUGGUCCAGUUAGUUCUC
Molecule: RNA transcript, 3530 nt
Organism: Malus domestica (apple)
Lineage: Eukaryota; Viridiplantae; Streptophyta; Magnoliopsida; Rosales; Rosaceae
Gene name: UDP-N-acetylmuramoyl-L-alanyl-D-glutamate--2,6-diaminopimelate ligase MurE homolog, chloroplastic-like
Source: RefSeq, a predicted model, not a curated record